RNAcentral lists this ribosomal RNA (858 nucleotides) under uncultured bacterium. Its description in RNAcentral is "bacterial SSU rRNA". It matches the Rfam family "Bacterial small subunit ribosomal RNA", at positions 1 to 855 of the family's 1533-position model. The record is from RNAcentral.
UAGAGUUUGAUCCUGGCUCAGGAUGAACGCUAGCUUCAGGCUUAACACAUGCAAGUCGAGGGGAAACGACAUCGAAAGCUUGCUUUUGAUGGGCGUCGACCGGCGCACGGGUGAGUAACGCGUAUCCAACCUGCCCACCACUUGGGGAUAACCUUGCGAAAGUAAGACUAAUACCCAAUGAUAUCUCUAGAAGACAUCUGAAAGAGAUUAAAGAUUUAUCGGUGAUGGAUGGGGAUGCGUCUGAUUAGCUUGUUGGCGGGGUAACGGCCCACCAAGGCGACGAUCAGUAGGGGUUCUGAGAGGAAGGUCCCCCACAUUGGAACUGAGACACGGUCCAAACUCCUACGGGAGGCAGCAGUGAGGAAUAUUGGUCAAUGGGCGAGAGCCUGAACCAGCCAAGUAGCGUGCAGGAUGACGGCCCUAUGGGUUGUAAACUGCUUUUAUAAGGGAAUAAAGUGAGUCUCGUGAGACUUUUUGCAUGUACCUUAUGAAUAAGGACCGGCUAAUUCCGUGCCAGCAGCCGCGGUAAUACGGAAGGUCCGGGCGUUAUCCGGAUUUAUUGGGUUUAAAGGGAGCGUAGGCCGGAGAUUAAGCGUGUUGUGAAAUGUAGACGCUCAACGUCUGCACUGCAGCGCGAACUGGUUUCCUUGAGUACGCACAAAGUGGGCGGAAUUCGUGGUGUAGCGGUGAAAUGCUUAGAUAUCACGAAGAACUCCGAUUGCGAAGGCAGCUCACUGGAGCGCAACUGACGCUGAAGCUCGAAAGUGCGGGUAUCGAACAGGAUUAGAUACCCUGGUAGUCCGCACGGUAAACGAUGGAUGCCCGCUGUUGGUCUGAAUAGGUCAGCGGCCAAGCGAA